UAGAAUUUGGUAUGUUUGUUUUGUAAGCUUAGUAGCCAUAAAAGAAAACAAAAUUGCCAUACAAAAGUAUAUAUUUAUAUAAAGAAGACAUCACAGGCUAUUUACCUAGGGUUGUUUUGAUACUUUCUACAUAGCCAUUUCACUGCCAAUCUCUGCUAAAUAUUGGAGUAAAAUUGUGUUUUGUUUUUUUUUUGGUUUUUGGCACACAAACUUAUAACAAAGAACUUCUCAUGUUUAUUUUGUUAAGUUGGUGUGUGCUAUUCCUGUACAAAGUUUUAUUUUGUGUUCAGUUACAUCUGCUGAGUAAAAUGAUACCCCCAUUGUAUGUCUUUG
RNAcentral lists this long non-coding RNA (333 nucleotides) under Pelobates cultripes (western spadefoot toad). Lineage: Eukaryota; Metazoa; Chordata; Amphibia; Anura; Pelobatidae. The record is from RNAcentral.